RNAcentral lists this long non-coding RNA (998 nucleotides) under Durio zibethinus. Its description in RNAcentral is "long non-coding RNA (DZIB_LNC001347)". Lineage: Eukaryota; Viridiplantae; Streptophyta; Magnoliopsida; Malvales; Malvaceae. The record is from RNAcentral.
ACGAACUUUCCUUUUGAAGUGAAGUAUUUUACUUAUAAUUUUUUUAUUAUAAUUUUAUAAUUAUUCAAUUAUAAUAAAAAAUUAUAUAAAAAUUCAUCAUUUUUGAGUGAGUUUUAUAUAAAAUUUUAAUAAAUUUUAUAUAAUUUUAAAUUAUAAUUUAUUAAUAUAAUACAGUAAUUAUAAGUGAAACACGAAUUAUUGUUAUAAAAAUAUUAUGAAAUUAAAUACAUUUACAGGAUAAAUCAACUCUAAAAUAAUUAGGUUGAUUCACUGGUUAAAAACAACACCACAUACAAAAUUUAUUCUAUUAAUUUGUCACAACCUACAUUCUUCAACAAGAAAAGAAUUUUGCUUUAUUUCAGAGAAUUGUUAAGGGGACUAUUUUGUUCUUUGUCUUUUUGUGGAGACUUGUGGCCGAAUGAUGCACUACGUCCUUUUUCUUUAUGUACGGCCGAGUGUUGUUUAGUCUUUAUUAUAUCCGAAAGCAAGGGCUUCCAACCUCCGUUUGGAAGUUUACUUAUCCCAAACGUGCGUGGAGGUCCCAGUCCCAACAACUCCAAGAGUUGAAGAAAAAAGGAAAGCCAGGCGGAAAGAAAGAGGAACAUAAAACAACAUUUUCCUAACUCCUUUUUUACUUUUUCUGAAGUGUCUAUAGGUCUCAUUAGAACCCGGCCCCUGGAAAGAAGAUGCCUCGUUGAGUCUCACCUUCACAGGUCUGUUGUAAACAGAGGGCUGUAUGGGUGAAAAUCCCUGCGGGAGUGACUGUGCCCUUUUUUAGUCCCUUGAGCCUGGGCUUGCGCCUUUAUGCCUGCUCUUGGUCGGGAUCCCAAACGUACGUGGAGAUUAAGGGAAAAGACUUAAAUGAAAUUAUUUAAAAGAAGUUUUUUAUUAAAAAUAAUUAAAUAAAAAUAAAAAUUUAAUAUAUAAAAAAAGUCUUAGUAUAAAUUCAGGGUGUAAAAUUUUAAAAAUUUUAAUAUAUUUUAAAAUAGGAAUUUAUA